RNAcentral lists this ribosomal RNA (426 nucleotides) under uncultured bacterium. RNAcentral describes it as "bacterial SSU rRNA". It matches the Rfam family "Bacterial small subunit ribosomal RNA", at positions 355 to 773 of the family's 1533-position model. The record is from RNAcentral.
UGGGGAAUAUUGGACAAUGGGUGAAAGCCUGAUCCAGCGACGCCGCGUGGGUGAAGAAGGCCUGCGGGUUGUAAAGCCCUUUCGGUGGGGAAGAAAUGCUUCGAGCUAAUACCUCGGGGCUUUGACGUAACCCACAGAAGAAGCACCGGCUAACUCUGUGCCAGCAGCCGAGGUAAUACAGAGGGUGCGAGCGUUAAUCGGAAUUACUGGGCGUAAAGCGCGCGUAGGCGGCUUUGCAAGCCGGAUGUGAAAUCCCCGGGCUUAACCUGGGAACUGCAUUCGGGACUGCAUUGCUAGAGUAUGGGAGAGGGAAGUGGAAUUUCAGGUGUAGCGGUGAAAUGCGUAGAUAUCUGAAGGAACAUCAGUGGCGAAAGCGACUUCCUGGACCAAUACUGACGCUCAUGUGCGAAAGCGUGGGGAGCAAAC